UGGAUGCUUUUUUUCUAGUGGGCGU
This 25-nucleotide non-coding RNA is filed under the name Rattus norvegicus (Norway rat). The record is from RNAcentral. Lineage: Eukaryota; Metazoa; Chordata; Mammalia; Rodentia; Muridae.